RNAcentral lists this ribosomal RNA (537 nucleotides) under Litoria nasuta (Australian rocketfrog). RNAcentral's name for it is "partial 16S ribosomal RNA". It matches the Rfam family "Bacterial large subunit ribosomal RNA", at positions 1844 to 2584 of the family's 2925-position model. The record is from RNAcentral. Lineage: Eukaryota; Metazoa; Chordata; Amphibia; Anura; Pelodryadidae.
UAUAAGAGGUCCAGCCUGCCCGGUGACCCUGUUUAACGGCCGCAGUAUCCUAACUGUGCGAAGGUAGCGUAAUCACUUGUUCUUUAAAUGAGGACUAGUAUGAAUGGCAUCACGAAGAUUAUACUGUCUCCUUUUUCUAAUCAGUGAAACUAAUCUCCCCGUGAAGAAGCGGGGAUAAUUAUAUAAGACGAGAAGACCCUAUGGAGCUUUAAACUAAAUCACAUUUGCCUCAUAAUAGCUAAAUUUGAGAAAAAUAUAUGUAAUCUGGCAUUAUGAUGAUAAGUUUUAGGUUGGGGUGACCGCGGAGAAAAAAAUAUCCUCCGCAUUGAAUAAGAUUCUCUUUAGCUAAAAGCUACAUCUUGAAGCAUCAAUAAAUUGACAUUAUUGACCCAAUAAUUUUGAUCAACGGACCAAGUUACCCUAGGGAUAACAGCGCAAUCCAUCUCAAGAGCUCCUAUCGACAGAUGGGUUUACGACCUCGAUGUUGGAUCAGGGUAUCCCAGUGGUGCAGCCGCUACUAAAGGUUCGUUUGUUCAA